CGGGGUGUGGCGCAGCUUGGUAGCGCGCCUGGAUGGGGGCCAGGAGGUCAGCGGUUCAAAUCCGCUCACCCCGACCA
Molecule: transfer RNA, 77 nt
Filed under: Pseudomonadota bacterium
Lineage: Bacteria; Pseudomonadati; Pseudomonadota
Also listed under: 2 other names
Description: tRNA-Pro
Rfam family: tRNA
About the family: Transfer RNA (tRNA) molecules are approximately 80 nucleotides in length. Their secondary structure includes four short double-helical elements and three loops (D, anti-codon, and T loops).
Source: RNAcentral